RNAcentral lists this long non-coding RNA (1389 nucleotides) under Phoenix dactylifera (date palm). RNAcentral describes it as "long non-coding RNA (PDAC_LNC014802)". The record is from RNAcentral. Lineage: Eukaryota; Viridiplantae; Streptophyta; Magnoliopsida; Arecales; Arecaceae.
ACAAAAUUAAAAAUAAAAAUAAAAAAAUAUUGUCAUGCACAUAUUAUGUCAAUAGUCAAUAUCUAAAUUAAACGUGAGCAAAGCAAGCCCUAUCCACCUAGCCCAAUUUUUGGCAGAAUUGGGCAAAGAUAUUCAACCCAACAGGAUAGUCCGGGCUGAAAUUUUUUGGCUUGACAAGGAAUCAGGUCGGGCUAAGGCUUGUCAAGUUGCAGUUAGCCUGACCUAGCUCAAUAUAUUUAUAAAUUAUAUAAUAUAUAAUCGUAUAGUGCAUCGUAUAAUAUAUAUUUUGUUUUUUUUUAACUUUAAAGUAAAAGAGGAGACCUAAAUUCCUCCCAUUCCCCUCCUCUAACCUACACCCCGCCACCCCACCCCCCACCCCCAGCCUCCCACUUACUUAUGGCACCCAAGGGCCACCUCAUCCUCUCUCCCAUGGUAUUUUUUCCCCAGUCGGCCAUUCUCUCUCUCACACACACACCCACCCGGCCAAUCCAGUGGCCAAAUCCAUCACUUCCCACUCAUCUCUCCCUCCCCCUCCCUUCUCUCAUCUCAUUCUCAACCCCCACUGCAUCCUCCUCACACUCUUUGCCCCUAGUUCACUCUAAAGGUUGAAGACACCAAUGCCUCCUCCUACUCUCUUUCUCUCAUGUCAACUGAAGUAUGGUCAAGUUAGUUCGGGCCAAGCCCAAUAACCCUAAUUUAUCUAAGUUGGAUUGGGUUAGUCCUAGGCGCUCUUAUUUCUUAUCGAGCUAGGUUUGGGCUAUAGAUUUUAGGGUUUAGUAAAUUUAUCUUGUUAUUAGAUAUCAAGAUAGCCUAAUCCUAGCGCAGCCUAGCAAAUGCUCAAGUCUAAUCUAAAUAUUGUUAAUAUCUAAAACUAUAUUAUUGACCUCCAGAUAUAAGCAUGCAUGUAACUGCAUAUAAAUCCACACAUUCCAUUUAAGAAAAUAUGUCUUGACACCAAGUAAUGCUGAACUGACCCAAACUGGACAUUCCAACCCAUGCUAAACCGUAAUGACGCUAGCCCAAGAUGGUUCAGCCGCUCAAUUCGAUUCGUUUAUAAAAUCGAUGGUUGCUCUCUCUCUCUCACUCGUUGCACUCUCUUUCACUUGUUUAUAAAAGUGGUCGAAGUGUCGAAUCGGCACCUCUCUCGCUCACAUUCUCUCAUUCGAGAGAGUACGUUGCCUCUCUCGCUUGCACUCUCUCUCUCUCGUUCGAGAACGUUCCACGCCUCAACGUCGCCAGAGCCUCUCUUCUGUCUUCAGCGCUAGCACCUCUAUCCCGUCUUCGACGCCCCAAAUUCUCCAAUUCUCUAUGGAGUCGAGGCCUUUCCCCCCUCGAAGGCUAGAGUUUCUCCACCCAUAGCUGGUAAGCCUCACCCCUCUCCCUCCCUCU